AGAGCAGGUCGGGCGGUCGCCGCCGCGUGCUAAACGCGGGGGAGGAAAGUCCGAACACCACAGGGCAGCGAGCCAGUUAACGGCUGGGCAUGUGUCCGCGGAAGCUGCAACUUUCGAGUUGCCGGCGCUGCGGGGGCAUGACGACAAGUGCAACAGAAAACAGACCAGCCAGCGGGCCGGCGUUAACGUCGCGCAGCGGGUGAUGGGUGAAACGGUGCGGCCCCGCAAAAACGGGGCUUAAUGUAAGAGCGCACCAGCGCGGUUGGUAACAGUCGCGGCUAGGUAAACUCCUCGCGGUGCAAGACCAAAUAGGGAGGCGUCACAUAGGGCUGCCCGCCCGAAGCGCGUUGCGAUGCAGCGCGCUACGACCUCCGGGUAGGUCGCUCGAUCCAUUCGGCGACGGAUGGGCUAGAUGAAUGAUCGCCGCUCCAGCUUCGGUCGGAGUACAGAAUUCGGCUUACAGACCUGUUCUCAAC
Molecule: RNase P RNA, 476 nt
Filed under: Pyrinomonadaceae bacterium
Lineage: Bacteria; Pseudomonadati; Acidobacteriota; Blastocatellia; Blastocatellales; Pyrinomonadaceae
Description: RNase P RNA component class A
Rfam family: Bacterial RNase P class A
About the family: Ribonuclease P (RNase P) is a ubiquitous endoribonuclease, found in archaea, bacteria and eukarya as well as chloroplasts and mitochondria. Its best characterised activity is the generation of mature 5'-ends of tRNAs by cleaving the 5'-leader elements of precursor-tRNAs. Cellular RNase Ps are ribonucleoproteins.
Source: RNAcentral